GAAAUGCGAUAAGUAAUGUGAAAUGCAGAAUUCCGUGAAUCAUCGAAUCUUUGAACGCACAUUGCGCCCUCUGGUAUUCCGGGGGGCAUGCCUGUCCGAGCGUCAUUGCAACCCUCAAGCCCGGCUUGUGUGAUGGGCGCGCGUCCCCUGUGGACGAGCCCGAAAGGCAGUGGAGGCGUCGCGGUUAUCCGAUCGCCUGGUGUAUGGGGCUCUGUCACGCACCACGGCCUGGACCGGCGCCCGCCGAAUUCAACUAUUUCUUAGGUUGACCUCGGAUCAGGUAGGGAUACCCGCUGAACUUAA
This 303-nucleotide unclassified non-coding RNA is filed under the name uncultured Gymnoascus. RNAcentral describes it as "sequence contains ITS1". The stretch from base 1 to 105 matches the Rfam family "5.8S ribosomal RNA", at positions 50 to 154 of the family's 154-position model. Lineage: Eukaryota; Fungi; Ascomycota; Eurotiomycetes; Onygenales; Gymnoascaceae. The record is from RNAcentral.